This 467-nucleotide ribosomal RNA is filed under the name uncultured bacterium. Its description in RNAcentral is "partial 16S ribosomal RNA". It matches the Rfam family "Bacterial small subunit ribosomal RNA", at positions 28 to 506 of the family's 1533-position model. The record is from RNAcentral.
GACGAACGCUGGCGGCGUGCUUAACACAUGCGAGUCGAACGGAAAGGCCCUGCUUUUGUGGGGUGCUCGAGUGGCGAACGGGUGAGUAACACGUGAGUAACCUGCCCUUGACUUUGGGAUAACUUCAGGAAACUGGGGCUAAUACCGGAUAGGAGCUCCUGCUGCAUGGUGGGGGUUGGAAAGUUUCGGCGGUUGGGGAUGGACUCGCGGCUUAUCAGCUUGUUGGUGGGGUAGUGGCUUACCAAGGCUUUGACGGGUAGCCGGCCUGAGAGGGUGACCGGCCACAUUGGGACUGAGAGACGGCCCAGACUCCUACGGGAGGCAGCAGUGGGGAAUAUGGCACAAUGGGCGGAAGCCUGAUGCAGCAACGCCGCGUGCGGGAUGACGGCCUUCGGGUUGUAAACCGCUUUCGCCUGUGACGAAGCGUGAGUGACGGUAAUGGGUAAAGAAGCACCGGCUAACUACGU